This is a non-coding RNA of Pelobates cultripes (western spadefoot toad), 223 nucleotides long. The record is from the annotation of a GenBank genome assembly. Lineage: Eukaryota; Metazoa; Chordata; Amphibia; Anura; Pelobatidae.
UUGCCUCGUGGUUUCCUGUUACGCCUCUGGUAACCAGCAUACUGAUAUAAAGACACUGAUUCAGGAUUUAUGGCUGAGAGCCAUUACAGGGACAAGAAUAACGUGUUUCAACCAGGUUCUGGUUUGAUCAGAUAUAAAAUAAAACAAAUUUCAAUCUUUCUAUCACUCUUUAUGGCAAGAUUCCUUCUGUCCAUUUUUACAGACUUCCUAACGCAAUGCUGGG